Molecule: long non-coding RNA, 1344 nt
Filed under: Trifolium pratense (red clover)
Lineage: Eukaryota; Viridiplantae; Streptophyta; Magnoliopsida; Fabales; Fabaceae
Description: long non-coding RNA (TPRA_LNC005992)
Source: RNAcentral
AUAAUUUGCAAUAACUUAAGUAAACAUAAAUUCAAAAUCCGCUAGUCAUACUCAAGAUACCAAAAAUACGUUCAUAAUGUGGGAAAAAAUAAACUGAGCUACAAAUAUUCACAAUCUUCGAAGCCAUAUAGCAUAAAACAUACACAACUGCAGACAACUAAAAGGUCAGAAAAUGAGAUGUGACGGGUCUUUUUGUGCAUAGAGGACACCACCAUACUCACACACGAUACUGGGCAAACAUCUAUCAGGGCCAAGUUUGUGUUGUGGGAAGCAUAAAAAUGGAGGGAGGAGUUCGUCCAGUGCAGCAGUGUAAGAACAAGUUUGUGCAGUGCAGUGGGGCUUCAUGAGCAAACUGGAUCUCUGUACAGUGAGUGUUGCAGAAGGGAGUGAACAAUAGUGUGGUUCUUUGUUGGCAUGAUGGGAAGCUACUACGACAGCAAGAGCAGCUUUUGGAAAUUCGUGAGUAAACGGAAACUGAAGGAUUGUGGAAAGGGGUGAGCAAUAGAGAGGUUCUUUGUUUAUACAUGGUAGGAUGGGAGGCUACCGCAAUAAGGGUAGCUAUGGAAGCAUCGUGAGUAAACAGAAAUGCACUAGCCCUAUGGUGAAAUGUCUUCUUUUUGCAUGGUUUUGGUCCUGAUUUUACAUUCUCAUCAAAAUCACAAAACUCUUGUGACUUUGAGUGGGUUCAAACGAGUCCACAAGAGUUCAACUUAGUUUCCUAAUAAAUGAGUUUAUAAACAGUUCAACUUAGUUCCUACGUAGAAGAAACUCAUGAGUUUGACUUGACAAUCAUGCUUGUACACACUUGGUUGGGUCAGCCACUGUCCAAGGGGUGUUUUGGAUGCAUACUAACUUUUAGCAAUACAAGUGAAUGUAGUUUAUUAUAUUUAUGGUAAAAAAAUUACAUCAUUGUUUGGAAUUUAUGCCGGAAUAAAUGAUUUCUUUGCAAUUCGAGAUUCAAUUUGUUGAUGCAGUUUAUAUUUCUUAUAUUCUUUUUGAGGCAUAUGUGAUUAAUUGUCUUCCUGCAUAUAUUCAGUGUGCAUCUUUUUUCAAUAUUUGGACAAUACUGGAUGUGAAUAAGUCACUUCUCUUUUCUCCUUCACCUAGCUACACAUUGGACUAGCAAAACCCUGGCUGUUGUUAACUUCUGAUAGAUAGAUCCUGGAUUGUUGAUUUGUCAUCUCUUUAGUUUAUGCUACUAUGCUACCGUUCCCAUUCAUGCCAAACUUGUGUUGAUUUUUUACAUCUGCUCUAGCUUGAGCCAUGGUCUACUAUGUUGAGAGUCUCACCUUGUAUUAUAUAUGCCAUAAAAACGUGUUUAUAAGUAGGUGCCAUCCCUUACCU